GCUUGUUUGACGAAAGUGUGGCAUGGCUUUUUGGUUUAAAGCUUUCCUUCCAACGUUGGAGGACCGCUAGCCGGUGGGUGCAUGCAUUUAUUGCAUGUUGAGGGCGGUGUACAUUUUUCUUUACAAGAUGGAGGGAACUCGUGACAUGCGUUGACUUUUGCAAAGCAUUUGAUGGUAUUAUUAUUAUGUUUUUUUUGGUAGAAGAUGGUAUUAUCACAUGUGAAGUCUUGGACUGUCCUUUUGUUAAAUAUAUCUCAUGAUAUUUGUUUUCAUACACCGCUAU
Molecule: long non-coding RNA, 283 nt
Filed under: Elaeis guineensis (African oil palm)
Lineage: Eukaryota; Viridiplantae; Streptophyta; Magnoliopsida; Arecales; Arecaceae
Description: long non-coding RNA (EGUI_LNC006531)
Source: RNAcentral